RNAcentral lists this long non-coding RNA (5036 nucleotides) under Marmota monax (woodchuck). The record is from RNAcentral. Lineage: Eukaryota; Metazoa; Chordata; Mammalia; Rodentia; Sciuridae.
CUUGGCCCUCAGGAAGAGCUCUCCCACCCCUGUGUGUGCAGACGGCUUCCGGAAGGUGGUCCACAUCGAGCAGGGAGGCCUGGUUAAACCUGAGAGGGAUGACACUGAGUUCCAGCACCCAUGCUUCCUGCGUGGCCAGGAGCAGCUCCUGGAGAACAUCAAGAGGAAAGUGACCAGCGUGAGUGGCUGGCCCUAAACACAACCCUCCUUGUCGUCCCUCCUUGCUUGUCCCUCUCUGACCCACCCUUAACCAUCCCCGUUGGCCCUUCCUACUGUGCCUCAGGCCUCCCCACUCUCCUUGGGGCCCAGCUGCAGCAUGAGAGCCAGCCCCACUCCAGGACCUCCAGAGCCUCUUGUCCACCCCCAGGUAUCCACACUAAAGAGUGAAGACAUAAAGAUCCGCCAGGAUAGCGUCACCAAGCUACUGACAGAUGUGCAGCUGAUGAAGGGGAAGCAAGAGUGCAUGGACUCCAAGCUACUGGCCAUGAAGCAGUAGGUCCUGCGUGUCCAGGGGGUGGCUGUGGAUGUGUGCUGUGGGCUAGGGAAUGGGACAAGGAGGACCUCCUGCAGAGCCACCGUCCAGCUGUGACUUCUGUGGCAGAAGCUCUGGGGCCUUCUGUAUCCAUAUUCUGGGGGAGGCAUCCUGCUGGGCCACUCCCUCCACCCGGAAAGAUAGGCCUCUGCCUGGUUCCUGAAGCCGCAGACUAGAUGAGCUUCCACUGUACAGGAUCUGGGUUCACAGACUCUGCCCUCCAGGUCCCUCGCUGAGGGCCAGGGCAGCAGGAAACUGACCAGGACAGUCCCAAGGCUAGGUCAGCUUCUCUCCCUCCCCUGGUUGCCCACAGUGUCACUCAACGCAAUGUCAACAUCCCCACCACUGCCACCAUCUCAGGCCUGGGGCAGGAAGCAGCGUAGGAUCUUUCUUGAAUUUUUGCCUAUGUAUGUUUGGCACACACCUGACCACCUGGGGCCCCUCCUCAACAAGGACCCAGGGUUCUAGAGGCUUUGCAGGCAGCCUAGCACUUAAGAAACUGAGGCACGGGUCUCUUUUCCACUCUGGGUCCCUGGAGACUCAGGAAUUCUACCCAUAUAGCACAAGAGGCCCUGGGUUCACACUCCCCACAUUAGGCCUAGCAGAAGCCACUGACUUUAUGACCAGUGGAUGUGGCUUUUCUCACAGUAUGGCCAAGGGGCCAUUUCUUUGUCCAGGAGAUAUGGGCUUUGCAGGGCUAGCCCACCAGAGCAUCAGGAAUGCACCAGAUCUUGCUUACCUACCUGGGUGGGGGAACCAUGUUUUGGCAGCUCAUCCCUAUCCCCACCAGGCCACUUCCACACUUGGUGCAGGGCCCUCAGCCCCUACAAGGUGCAGGGCACCCUCCAGGUGUCACUCAGCAAACUGAGGAAUCUGUGUUUCGGAAACCUGAUCCCUUGGUGGGAGCAGAUGACUGGGGUUGGAUUCAAGUUCAAAGAACCUCCCAGUCACCACCCCGACCCCACCGCAUCAUCAGUGGGUGUCCUGCAAACCCCACCUUUGUCCUCUGGGAAGCACACCAGAGGUUGAAGGGGGGCAAUGUUGCCAGCAAGCCCUCGCCUGGCCCCGGCCCUUGUCCCACACCCCCUUGGACCUGCCUAGGGCAGGGGAGGCUACAGAAUACCCCUGCUGAGACUGCUGUGAGGCCUGCCUGACCCAGCCUGUAUUGCAGCGAGAACGAAGCCCUGUGGCGAGAGGUGGCCAGCCUGCGGCAGAAGCAUGCCCAGCAGCAGAAAGUCGUCAACAAGGUGGGGCAGGGCUGGCGGUGGUGGGUCCCUCCACAGCAGGGCUGGAGUGACUAUAUCCUCUCUGCCCUACAGCUCAUUCAGUUCCUGAUCUCGCUGGUGCAGUCCAACCGGAUCCUGGGGGUGAAGAGAAAAAUGUGAGGCACUGGGGGUGCCUGUACCCUCUGCUCAGGCCCUGGGCCCUCCCUGUGCUCCGUCUGCUGCAUCCUAGCGAGCAGCUAACCCCCACCCCUUCCCCACAGCCCGCUGAUGUUGAGCGACAGCAGCUCCGCACACUCGGUGCCCAAGUAUGGCCGGCAGUACUCCCUGGAGCAUGUGCAUGGUCCAGGCCCAUACUCGGUAAGCACUAGGUUGGGCAGGACGGCCCCCACAGGUCGUGCAGGGUGCUUGCUGCGUGCUCCAGGGUGGCCACAGGCAGACCCUACACGUGACCCAGCCCCUACCUCUGUUUGCAGGCUCCAUCCCCAGCCUACAGCAGCUCCAGCCUCUAUACCCCAGACGUUGUUACCAGCUCUGGACCCAUAAUCUCCGACAUCACUGAGCUGGCUCCCGCCAGCCCUCUGGCCUCCCCAGGCAGGAGCAUAGAUGAGAGGUGGGGCUGUGUACCCCCCCCCCAGCCCUCCUGUCACCUCACUGGGCCAGCCCAUAUGAGCCCGGGGUAGAGUUGGGAGGGAGUGGUGCCCGCUGAGGUUCCUGCUAACGUGUCCCCCAACAUGUCCAGGCCCCUGUCCAGCAGUCCCCUGGUGCGUGUCAAGGAGGAGCCCCCCAGUCCACCUCGGACGCCCCGAGUGGAGGAGGCGAGUCCCAGGCACCCGUCCUCUGUGGACACCCCCUUGUCCCCAACUGCCCUCAUCGACUCCAUCCUGCGGGAGAGCGAGCCUGCCCCCACCUCAGCUACAGUCCCCACUGAUGCCGGAGGCCGCGUCCCCUCGUCCCCACCUCGCUCAGCCCCCGAGAAGUGCCUCAGCGUAGCCUGUCUGGACAAGUGAGUGCUGCCCCUGAGCACACAGCCUGAGCCUGUGCUGGGACUGCCCCGAGGGGUGGGGUACUGAACCCCCAGGCCCUGCAGGGGUAUGGGAUUUGCAAAUAGUAAGCAAACAGGAUUAGGGCCAGGGAGGGAGUUGAAUUUGGCCAGAUCACUCUACAAUCUGGGGCCCCUGCCCGCUGGCCACCCUUUUGGCUGCCAUCGCCCUCUCCUGCAAACCACAGGACCCUUGCCUGUCAUGCUGCCCAGACCAGCAGCAAGAGAUGGUGAGCCGGGCCUGGCUUUGACCCCUUUGGCCCUGUCCAGAGGCUGAGUGAGUGAGGAUGGUGGGCUCAGAGCCCACCCUCUGGCCCCCACCUGCAAUGGGGGGGCUCUUGUCUUUGUAUCUUGCAGUUUGGCUCGCGCUCCACAGAUGUCUGGGGUCGCCCGCCUCUUCCCCUGCCCCUCCUCUUCCUUUCUGCAUGGCCGAGUCCAGCCAGGGUUAGCGCGGCCCCCAUUGGGGAGGGAGGAGGGCUCUGUCAGAGCUCGGGCCCCUCCUGCAGCCAUGAAGCAGACCCUGCCCUGUGCACAGCACUCACCCUGUUUGUCAAGGGUGCCGGGGGAGGGCUUCCCAGGCUCUGCAUCCUCACUGACUUCCCAGGCAUGGGCCAAUGGCUGUGACUGGGACAAAACCCUACCUGGCCCAGCCACCAGUGCAGGCAGGAUCCAGGCUGCUGUGCUGCGCUUACUUUCGGGGUGGGGUGGGCCCAUGGCACCUGUAGAGCUGUCCUGGCUGUCCUUCCCAUGGCCCCCAGAUACCCCCAGCAGCACCAGGGGAGGUGCAGACCCAGUCAUGCUGAGGAUAGCCUGUCUGCCUUCUUUACUCUUCCAAGUGCUGUGGCAAGACCUUGUUAAGCCUGAAAAACUGCACUAGAGCUGAACCCCUCGUCCCCUGGUGCUUUCUUGCCCCAGCCUUGAUCACCCCCAAGGCCUUCCAGCCUUGUACCAGUAUCCUGUGGGCCAAGCUGCACCCUACCCUCAGUAGUCAUGGAGGACACAGAGCUCACCACUGCCCUUCCAGCACCUUCCAGUUGUGUGUGUAUAUAUACACAGACACACUGUCCCCCCAGCCCAUGCUGGGGGUGCCGAGGGGCCCCAUCUAGGGAAUGGGUGUAGCCAAGGGAGAGCCCUUCUCUACAGGAGUGUGUCUGGGGCUCUGGUUCACCUGCCCACUCACCCCGGGCCAGGAAUGAGCUCAGUGACCAUUUGGAUGCCAUGGAUUCCAACCUGGACAACCUGCAGACCAUGCUGACCAGCCAUGGCUUCAGUGUGGAUACCAGCGCCCUGCUGGACGUGAGUCUGCCCUAUCUUCUCCCUGCUCCACCCCAUUCUCUGUAAGCCAGCCCUGACUUCCCUCCCUCCCUCCUGCAGCUGUUCAGCCCCUCCGUGACCAUGCCCGACAUGAGCCUGCCUGACCUUGACAGCAGCCUGGCCAGCGUGCGUAGGCGGGCAGGGUGGGGGGCGGGGGCACCAGCAGCAGUCCUCAUCAUGUCCCUUCCACCCCACAGAUACAGGAGCUCCUGUCUCCCCAGGAGCCCCCCAGGCCUCUUGAGGCAGAAAACAAUGGCCCUGACUCAGGUGAGCCAAGCCCUGUGCCUGCCCCCCAUCCUCCCACCACCCAUAUGGCCCUGACCCCCACCCACCCACAGGGAAGCAGCUGGUGCAGUACACAGCACAGCCUCUGUUCCUGCUGGACCCGGACGCCGUGGACACGGGGAGCAGUGAACUACCUGUGCUCUUUGAGCUGGGGGAGGGCUCCUACUUCUCCGAGGGAGACGACUACACAGAUGAUCCCACCAUUUCCCUGCUGACAGGCUCUGAGCCCCCCAAAGCCAAGGACCCUACUGUCUCCUAGAGAUGCCAAGAGGGACUGGGAGGGCCUGUGGCCUGCUUCCACCCUUAGGACAGGUUUGGGGGAGGCAGGACAGGCACACAGCCUCCACAGCCCCAGUGGGGGAAGAGGGGCUCAGGGCUGGACAGUGCCUCCAGUCCAGAGUGAGGGCCCUUGGGCCUGCACACCUGCUGCCUUCGCCCAGCCCCGCAUCCCCAUGGCUUGUUUGGGGCUUCACAGUCACAACUUGGACUGAUUCUGCAGGUUGUUCAUAGAAUUGUAUUUUGGAUUUUUACAUGAGGGUCCCCCUUUCCCCUUCACAGAGAAAUAUAUACACACAGACGGACAGACAAGACGGGCAGAGAUCUAUAAACCGACAAGCUCUAUGCUAUGGCUUUCUAUGUG